AUGGCCGGGUCCUUCGUCCUCAACACCGGCGCAAGAAUGCCAUCAGUCGGCCUCGGCACAUGGCAGAUAGCGCCUGAUGUUGUUGGCGACGCCAUCUACGCCGCUGUCAAGGCUGGAUAUCGGCAUAUUGAUUGUGCUCCAGUGUACCGCAAUGAGAAACAGGUUGGUUUCGCUUUGAAGAAACUAUUUGAGGAUGGUGUGGUUAAGCGUGAAGAUUUGUUUAUCACCUCUAAGCUAUGGUCUGGUGAUCAUGCACCUGAAGAUGUUCCAGAGGCAAUUGGCGCUACUCUUAAAGAUUUGCAGCUUGACUUCUUAGAUCUGUUCCUCAUUCAUGCUCCAAUCCGUAUCAAGAAAGGGACUACGCCGAGCCAUGAAAACAUUCUCCCACCUGAUAUUCCUGCUACAUGGGAAGCGAUGGAGAAGCUAUACGACUCUGGCAAAGCUCGAGCAAUUGGUGUGAGUAGCUUCUCUUGCAAAAAGAUUGAGGAUUUGCUUGCCAUUGCACGUGUGCCUCCAGCAGUCAACCAGGUUGAAUGUCAUCUGAUUUGGCAGCAAGACAAGCUCCAUAAACUAUGCCAUUCGAGGGGUGUUCAUCUUUCUGCAUUUUCCCCAUUAGGUUCGCCUGGAUCAUCUCUACCCGGGGUCAGUGGCGCUAUCGUCCUUAGCAAUCCUAUUGUCAUCUCUGUUGCUGAGAAGUUGCAGAAGACACCUGCACAGGUUGCCUUACGCUGGUGUCUUCAAAUGGGUCAGAGUGUACUUCCAAAAAGCACCAAUGAAGCAAGGAUUAAGGAGAACUUUGACAUAUUUGAGUGGUCCAUUCCUGAAGAUUUAAUGGCAAAGUUCUCCGAAAUCAAACAGGCAAGGUUGAUGAAAGGGGAAUUUGCGGUUCACCCUCUAAGCGUUUACAAAACCUUGGAGGACCUUUGGGAUGGCGAAAUUUAA
This 942-nucleotide ribosomal RNA is filed under the name Triticum aestivum (bread wheat). Its description in RNAcentral is "partial small subunit ribosomal RNA". The record is from RNAcentral. Lineage: Eukaryota; Viridiplantae; Streptophyta; Magnoliopsida; Poales; Poaceae.